Molecule: transfer RNA, 71 nt
Filed under: Heterocephalus glaber (naked mole-rat)
Lineage: Eukaryota; Metazoa; Chordata; Mammalia; Rodentia; Bathyergidae
Rfam family: tRNA
About the family: Transfer RNA (tRNA) molecules are approximately 80 nucleotides in length. Their secondary structure includes four short double-helical elements and three loops (D, anti-codon, and T loops). Further hydrogen bonds mediate the characteristic L-shaped molecular structure. tRNAs have two regions of fundamental functional importance: the anti-codon, which is responsible for specific mRNA codon recognition, and the 3' end, to which the tRNAs corresponding amino acid is attached (by aminoacyl-tRNA synthetases). tRNAs cope with the degeneracy of the genetic code in two manners: having more than one tRNA (with a specific anti-codon) for a particular amino acid; and 'wobble' base-pairing, i.e. permitting non-standard base-pairing at the 3rd anti-codon position.
Source: Rfam by way of RNAcentral
UGAAGUGCAGCACAGUGAUAGAGCACCUGCUUAUCAUGCAGGAAGCCCAGGUUCCAUUCCUAGUACCUCCA